GCUGACGAGUGGCGCACGGGUGCGUAACGCGUAUACAAUCUGCCUUUAAGCGGGGAAUAGCCCAUGGAAACGUGGAUUAAUACCCCAUAGUAUGUAGACUUCACCUGAAGAUUACAUUAAACAUUUAUGGCUUAAAGAUGAGUAUGCGUCCUAUUAGUUAGUUGGUAAGGUAACGGCUUACCAAGACCGCGAUAGGUAGGGGUCCUGAGAGGGAGAUCCCCCACACUGGUACUGAGACACGGACCAGACUCCUACGGGAGGCAGCAGUGAGGAAUAUUGGACAAUGGAGGCAACUCUGAUCCAGCCAUGCCGCGUGCAGGAAGACUGCCCUAUGGGUUGUAAACUGCUUUUACAGAGGAAGAAACCUCCCCACGUGUGGGGAGCUGACGGUACUCUGCGAAUAAGGAUCGGCUAACUCCGUGCCAGCAGCCGCGGUAAUACGGAGGAUCCAAGCGUUAUCCGGAAUCAUUGGGUUUAAAGGGUCCGUAGGCGGGAUAAUAAGUCAGUGGUGAAAGUCUGCAGCUCAACUGUAGAAUUGCCAUUGAUACUGUUGUUCUUGAAUCAUUAUGAAGUGGUUGGAAUGAGUAGUGUAGCGGUGAAAUGCAUAGAUAUUA
Molecule: ribosomal RNA, 614 nt
Filed under: Christiangramia portivictoriae
Lineage: Bacteria; Pseudomonadati; Bacteroidota; Flavobacteriia; Flavobacteriales; Flavobacteriaceae
Description: bacterial SSU rRNA
Rfam family: Bacterial small subunit ribosomal RNA
Source: RNAcentral